AUGAAUUUAAUACAGUUUAGAACGAGUAAAACAGAGCUUUAACCUUCAGAGCAAUUUUGAUCAACGCUGUUAGAAAAAUCGCCUGCCACGGCUUGAAAUGCUAGCGUACUUUACAAGACGUGAAAAUAUGCAUUUUGCCGUCGUCAACAGAGCUUGGAUCCCUAGUUUAAAGAACGGCUACAUGAUUAUUCCGUUUUAAGAUCCUGUUUGAAAAUUACUCCAAAAUAGUGAAAAAAUAACAUUCCAAUAGGCAAUAAGAUAG
Paramuricea clavata is the source of this 262-nucleotide non-coding RNA. Lineage: Eukaryota; Metazoa; Cnidaria; Anthozoa; Malacalcyonacea; Plexauridae. The record is from the annotation of a GenBank genome assembly.